Molecule: non-coding RNA, 105 nt
Organism: Acanthosepion pharaonis
Lineage: Eukaryota; Metazoa; Mollusca; Cephalopoda; Sepiida; Sepiidae
Source: the annotation of a GenBank genome assembly
GUAUCAAGUUCAAACACCGGUUAUCGUUUGAUCACCGAAGUUAAGCAAUGUCGAGCCUGGUCAGUACAUAGAUGGGUAACCGCUUCCGAAUGCCAAGUGUUGCAA